AAAAAUAAAAUAAAAU
Molecule: small RNA, 16 nt
Filed under: Arabidopsis thaliana (thale cress)
Lineage: Eukaryota; Viridiplantae; Streptophyta; Magnoliopsida; Brassicales; Brassicaceae
Description: ATSL117230
Source: RNAcentral